CCUACGGGUGGCAGCAGUGGGGAAUAUUGGACAAUGGGGGCAACCCUGAUCCAGCGACGCCGCGUGUGUGAAGAAGGCCUGCGGGUUGUAAAGCACUUUUAGUGGGGAGGAAAACACUCGACCUAAUACGUCGUGAAUUGACUUAACCCACAGAAAAAGCACCGGCUAACUCUGUGCCAGCAGCCGCGGUAAUACAGAGGGUGCAAGCGUUAAUCGGAAUUACUGGGCGUAAAGCGUGCGUAGACGGUUUAUUAAGUCGGAUGUGAAAUCCCCGGGCUCAACCUGGGAAUUGCAUUCGAGACUGAUCAGCUAGGGUACGGAAGAGGGAAGCGGAAUUUCCGGUGUAGCGGUGAAAUGCGUAGAUAUCGGAAGGAACAUCAGUGGCGAAAGCGGCUUCCUGGUCCAGUACCGACGUUCAGGCACGAAAGCGUGGGGAGCAAACAGGAUUAGAUACCCCAGUAGUC
This 464-nucleotide ribosomal RNA is filed under the name uncultured bacterium. RNAcentral's name for it is "bacterial SSU rRNA". It matches the Rfam family "Bacterial small subunit ribosomal RNA", at positions 338 to 795 of the family's 1533-position model. The record is from RNAcentral.